UACUUUUCCAAAUCUAGCUUAGCUGUGUUUUAAAAUAUCUCCUUUGACUUCUCACUGUUUUAGUUUUCCCUGGGCCUGCAAACAUGUGAAUGUGAAAACAAUUCUCGCGGAAUGGAUUUUAUGACUGUAGCCAAAGGCAGCCUCUGACCGAGUGGUAAGGACAAAAGGAUAUGGAAUUGUUUUCCACAUGUUUGGUGAGGGGAAGAAAAAGAAAAAAUGAAUAUGCGAAACAAGUGUGAAUAAAUGAACAAGAUACAUAAAAGUUAUAGAAUCUACAUGAUGAUUGAGAUGUGCAGAUGGAUAGACUGUAGGAAGAAAAAAGGGCAGCUCUAAAAUAUAGAGAAUGAACAGACUUACUGCUGAAAAACAAGUGAAUGAUGAAAAUUGAGAAAAUUUGUAGUAAUGAUUAGACAAUAUGGAGUAAAGUAUCUACUUUUAUUAGAGAAAAUUUUCUUCUAAGGACAAUUGCUCUUAUCUGAGAAGAAAACAUACACCAGCUGAACUUGGAAAUUUCCUUUUUGUCUUAUAAUGUAAUAGCAUCAACGUAUCACGUUUUUCUUAAAACUGUGUAUUUGUAUUAAUAUGUUGCAAUUUGAAAAUAACCUUCACAUGUAAUUUUUUUCAUAUAAUCUCUGUGAUUUAUGUAAGGCAAAUAUUAUCCUUAUUUUGUAAAUAAAAACACCCAACAUUA
Delphinapterus leucas (beluga whale) is the source of this 691-nucleotide non-coding RNA. The record is from RefSeq and is a predicted model, not a curated record. NCBI's taxonomy places the organism in Eukaryota, Metazoa, Chordata, Mammalia, Artiodactyla, Monodontidae.